This 269-nucleotide ribosomal RNA is filed under the name uncultured Glomeromycotina. RNAcentral describes it as "partial 18S ribosomal RNA". It matches the Rfam family "Eukaryotic small subunit ribosomal RNA", at positions 644 to 917 of the family's 1831-position model. The record is from RNAcentral. Lineage: Eukaryota; Fungi; Glomeromycota.
GGGUUAGUAGGUUGGUCAUGCCUCUGGUAUGUACUGAUCUCACUGAUUCCUCCCUCUUGACGAACUGUAAUGUCAUUAAUUUGGUGUUGCAGGAAAUCAGGACUGUUACUUUGAAAAAAUUAGAGUGUUUAAAGCAGGCUAAGGCUUGAAUACAUUAGCACGGAAUAAUGAAAUAGGACGUUUGAUCCUAUUUUGUUGGUUUCUAGGAUUGACGUAAUGAUUAAUAGGGAUAGUUGGGCUGAGACUGGCCAAGGGCACACAGGGGGGAU